Molecule: unclassified non-coding RNA, 227 nt
Filed under: Melitaea cinxia (Glanville fritillary)
Lineage: Eukaryota; Metazoa; Arthropoda; Insecta; Lepidoptera; Nymphalidae
Description: misc RNA ENSMCXG00005000029.1
Source: RNAcentral
AUGGGAAAGAUGAUUGCACACUACUCGCGGAUGUUCCUCUACUAGUCUAACCGACGAUGCUUUGGUCGGUAAUGGAUGAACACUUUCGGCAAGACUACCAUACAUAUAUACACAAACAUUGUGAUGCGGAAGGUUCUAUAUACCUCACAAUAAUACGUAUACAGUUUUGAGGCACUAUCAAGGCCUCGGGAUCAUUAACGGAAAAAUUGUACGGCGACGUGCACGAA